AGGGCUUGGCUUAUUAGCUAUUCCCCCCAUUGCGUAUCUUCCUCUCUCUCUCCUUUUCUGAGUGCUGAACCGCUUCGUUGUCCCUUUUUCUCUCAAACCUUCUUUCCGAAUCACCGUCCUCUUCUCCUUUCAGAUCCAAUUUCGCCCUAAUCUUCUUUUUCCGCCGCCAAUUUCCACCCCUUCUCGUAUUUUUUCGUCGUUGGGAUCUAGGGCUUGAAAUUCAUCGUUAUAAUUGCAACGCUUCCCUUUUUUUUUUUUUUUCUGGGUUUCUGUUUACUGUGUUUUAGGGUUCCGAUUUUCCAUUGUGGGUGACUUUGAUUUUCGAUUCGUUCCUUGUUUUUUCAAAUCGUUUUCUGGGGUUCCAUUUAUUUGAACUUGUUAGUCUGCGAUUAAAAAAGGGGCAAACUAUACAUAUAAAAAAGAUUUCUUUUUUCAAAUUUGUUGGCGUUGCGAUCAUGGGGAGCUCUGAAGGGGUGGGAACCUCGACGAAGCAAUAUGGUGUCACGAAGCCCAUAUCAAUGGCGGGCCCAACGGUUGCUGAUUUGCAAAGGACUCUUGAAUUGGAGAAGUUUCUCGUUGAUUCCGGCCUUUACGAGAGCAAAGAGGAAGCUGCCAAAAGAGAAGAGGUCCUUAACCGACUUGGACAGGUAGUAACUAGUUGGGUAAAGCAACUUACCCGCCUAAGAGGAUACACUGAUCAAAUGGUGGAAGAUGCAAAUGCUGUUAUAAUCACUUUUGGUUCUUAUCGACUUGGUGUUCAUGGUCCUGGGGCUGACCUAGACACACUAUGCAUUGGGCCAUCCUACGUAAACCGAGGGGAGGAUUUUUUCUACACAUUACAUGAUAUCCUAGCUAACAUGGAGGAAGUCACAGAACUGCAACCAAUUCCGGAUGCUCAUGUCCCGGUUAUGAAAUUCAAGUUUGAUGGAAUAUCAAUUGACCUCCUUUAUGCAAGUAUUUCUCGCUUAAUUGUACCUGAAGAUUUGGAUAUAUCUGAUGUCUCUCUUCUACACAAUGUGGAUGAGCCUACAGUGCGAAGUUUGAAUGGUUGUAGGGUUGCAGAUCAAAUUCUAAAGCUAGUUCCAAAUACUGAGCAUUUUCGUACAACACUCCGUUGCUUGAAGUUUUGGGCCAAAAGGCGAGGUGUUUAUUCCAAUGUGACAGGUUUUCUUGGUGGUGUAAACUUGGCGCUUCUUGUUGCCCGAGUGUGCCAGUUGUAUCCAAAUGCAGUUCCAAGCAUGCUUGUCUCUCGAUUCUUUAGGGUUUAUACACAGUGGCGAUGGCCAAAUCCUGUAAUGCUAUGUCCAAUAGAACAGAACGAGCUUGGGUUUUCUAUGUGGGAUCCUCGCAAAAAUCCUCGUGAUCGAACCCAUCAUAUGCCAAUCAUCACUCCUGCCUAUCCAUGUAUGAAUUCCAGUUAUAAUGUUUCUAUAAGCACACUUCGUGUUAUGAUGGAGCAGUUCCAGAAUGGCAACAGGAUCUGUGGGGAAAUAGAACUGAAUAAAGCCUGUUGGAGUUCUCUGUUUGAACAAUACAUUUUCUUUGAAAGCUAUAAAAACUACUUGCAAGUUGACAUAGUUGCUGCCGAUGUUGAUGACUUGCGUGCAUGGAAAGGUUGGGUGGAAUCACGCCUUCGACAGCUGACUCUGAUGAUUGAGCGUGACACUUUUGGGAAGUUGCAGUGCCAUCCCUAUCCUCAUGAGUAUAUGGAUAAUUCAAAGCAGUGUGCACAUUGUGCUUUCUUUAUGGGCUUGCAGAGGAAGCAGGGGGAAGUUGUUCAGGAAGGUCAGCAAUUUGAUAUACGAGGGUCAGUGGAAGAAUUUCGUCAUUCUGUCAAUAUGUACAAUUACUGGAAACCAGGGAUGGACAUUUAUGUUUCUCAUGUUCGUCGAAGGCAAAUCCCUGGCUAUGUGUUUCCUGAUGGUCACAAACGAUCGCGACCAUCAAGGCCAACACCACAAUUGGAGAAUCCUCACAAAUCAUUUCAUGAAGAUGAGGUUUUUGGGACUAAACAAAUUGAGAGAAACCACAAGAGGAAGUACAAUGACAGGGUGGGUGAAAGGCUGGAUGCAUUGAAAAGACAAUCUAUCAAUCCGCCUGUGCAUAGCUUGGCAAUACACAACAGCCUUCACUAUAGUGGUUUGUCUGUUGAUGCUAUGGCUGAUGGUCAAGAGUUGAGAAAUGUGGAGGGUGCUCAUUUGUCCAACAGCAGGCAAGAUGAUUUGGAUCGAACAGAGUCUCCUGAACCUGCCUCAAAUUCUAGUGUGAUUACAUCUGUUACCAGUGAUGCUGGUUCUUCUGAGGAUAUUGGAUCUGGUUAUGUUGAGGAUAGCACCAAGGGUGUUGAGGCGAUAAUUAAUGGGAGGUUUGGGGAUACUACUUAUGGGGAGUCUGUGAAAAGUACAGUGGCAAGUGAAAAUGAAGUAUUACAAGAUGAGCUACAUGAGCAGUUAGAGGUUUUGGCUUUCAAUUCCUACCCAAAUUUCUGCUUUCUUACUUUUUUUGCUGGGUUGAUAUAUUUUACCUGUUGUCUUGUUAGUCUAGUAAUUGGCCAUUUGAUCAAUUCUUAUUUUUCCGUCAUUUUUCUAUGAUUGUGUAUAGAUUGUACAGCCAAGUGCACUGAUGUGCAAGGUCUUCCCUGAAGUACUGUUAAGCCAAAAUGCAUUGAUUGUCGAGCUUUUGGUGAUGCAUGAUAUCUUCAGUGAAAUUGUGUCUAGUAUUAGAUAGGCUAUCUAUGGUCUUCACUGUGCUGUACUGUGUUUAGGAAAAAGUUCACUAUGUCAUUUUGUACAUCUAUGUUUAUAUUUCAAUUUUCUUGGUAAGCUUAUUAUGGACAAGGUUUUGUAUUGACCAUUAUUCCUUUUUUUUUUGGGCUUUUUUGUGAAGCCCAAUGCAGUGCUAGGGAUGGUUCUUGAUUCCAAGCGACAAGUUCGUUCAAAUGCGGUGCAAAAGCCAGUUAUAAGGAGAUUGAGUGUAACAUCGGCAGUGUGACAGAUCAGUAGUUCGAUGCUUGUGCGACGGAGAAAGAGGAGAGCCAGCAGUUUGGGUAAGUACUAAUUUAAAUGCUGGCUUUCAUUUCGCUAAUUUUUUCAGGCUUGCUUGUUCAUUCAAGCUUGCAAAUUGGAACUGAUUGGCAUCAAGCUGAAAGACUUGGAGCUGGGAUCAGCCAUUUGUAUAGUUGGCAAUUUUUGUGCAUUAUGGUGUCUAUUGACUAAACUAACUUCAUUAGAGCUUUUUUUAGGAUUGUCCCUAAACUUAAAGAGGGCAUACUAGGAAGGCUUUUGCUGUACUUUGCUAUUGUUGACCGUUUGGUUUUUUUCUUUUUAAUUUUUAUUUUUCUUUUAGAGCUAGAGAGACGGGGGCAAAAGGGCAUAUAGGAGAGGGUUAGGGUGGUUGAGGGGUUGGCUAUGUGAGUGGACUUGGCCUUUUUACUGAUUGUUGUACUGCCUCUGAGAGGUUACUGUAUAAACUCCACAGUGAUUUGGCAACUAUCAUCUCCACCUUCUUUACAUUUGCUUUGUCCCUUGCCUCACAUAGGAACAAUCAGUGUCUUUCCAAUACCAUUGAUUCAAUACAUUUUAAAAUAUUAACAAUUAUGAUUCUAAACUUGUUUUUAAACAUGGAUUCAAUAAACGACAUUGACAUAU
RNA transcript from Abrus precatorius (Indian licorice), 3647 nucleotides. It is a transcript of the gene named nuclear poly(A) polymerase 4-like, with no coding region annotated. The record is from RefSeq and is a predicted model, not a curated record. Lineage: Eukaryota; Viridiplantae; Streptophyta; Magnoliopsida; Fabales; Fabaceae. The transcript is spliced from 11 exons.